This 305-nucleotide ribosomal RNA is filed under the name uncultured bacterium. Its description in RNAcentral is "bacterial SSU rRNA". It matches the Rfam family "Bacterial small subunit ribosomal RNA", at positions 338 to 660 of the family's 1533-position model. The record is from RNAcentral.
CCUACGGGAGGCAGCAGUGGGGGAUAUUGCACAAUGGGCGCAAGCCUGAUGCAGCGACGCCGCGUGAGCGAAGAAGUAUUUCGGUAUGUAAAGCUCUAUCAGCAGGGAAGAGAAUGACGGUACCUGACUAAGAAGCUCCGGCUAACUACGUGCCAGCAGCCGCGGUAAUACGUAGGGGGCAAGCGUUAUCCGGAUUUACUGGGUGUAAAGGGGGCGCAGACGGCAGUGCAAGCCUGGAGUGAAAGCCCGUGGCUCAACCCCGGGACUGCUCUUGGAACUGCAUAGCUGGAGUACAGGAGGGGCAG